Onychostruthus taczanowskii (white-rumped snowfinch) is the source of this 4182-nucleotide long non-coding RNA. RefSeq lists it as uncharacterized. NCBI's taxonomy places the organism in Eukaryota, Metazoa, Chordata, Aves, Passeriformes, Passeridae. The transcript is spliced from 3 exons. The record is from RefSeq and is a predicted model, not a curated record.
AAGCAGGACCAGGACAGCAGGGUGACCUUCGCAGGAGCUCGGCUCAGCCCAGGGACUGGGUGCUGCUGGCACCCAGGAGAGCCACAAGAAAGCAGCAUGAUCCCCACACUGCCAUGGAACAGAAACCUACUCUCAGCUGGCAUUGCCUUUGAAAUGAAGUGCUGGAAUCCUGUACACAUGGAGGAAGAGAUUUCUGUGUGGGUUGUGGGUGAGACCUGGGAAGAGGCCUCAGGCAAAUGUGACCAACCUGAAUUCCUGCUGAUUUUGUGAACUCUGCAAGUGCCUCAGAGAGAGGUGGGACUCUCAAGAAGUACGGAGGAGAGCAGGCUGCUGAGGGCUGAGGAAUGGCAGCAAUGCCCACAUGUUUUCUGUUUGUGACACCGUGGCUGAUGGGAAUCAUUUAAUCACACAGCGAGACCGGUUCACUCUACCUUUACACCAGUCCUUAAGAUGUUUCCCUUAUCUCUGACUUUCUGCAGACGGCUGGGGUUUUCCCUGCCUGGUUCCUCUGUCACCUACAGAUGGCUUUCAGUGCUUAAUCCUUGGGAAAUGUGAGUUUCUCCAUGACUCAGCCACAGUUUCCCUGCUUGGCUGUCACACGGUGUUUCAUCUUUUCACUUCUCAGUCUGCAUCUGUACAAAGAGGUCAGUAAUGAGAGGAAAACAAGCAUAGCAGGGCCAGAUACACACAGAUCCCCAAGUGUUGAGGGGCCAUAUAAUUUCUUAAAUGAAUUGGUCACAUGAUACUCAUGAUGCUCUUUUUUUUCCUUUUUCCUCCUUUACUGGAUAAUUGAAACUUCAUAGACAUUAAGAAUCUGAAACAUGCGUAACAGUUCUUUAUGUACAAACAGCUUUUUCUCUGCAAACUGAGGAGUUUGUGGGGAAGAGAGUUCUGUGAACACUGGAGCGAGCAAGCACCUGUUUCCCACAAGUGUUACAAUUCCCACAACUGGCAGGAACAGUUGAUGUUCAGGGUAUAAAUGCAAAUUUUCCAUCUCUACAUCACAGGAUUAUCUGCGUUGUCCCCAGUUAAACCUCCUCACUGAAUAUAUAACUAAAUCUUUCCAAAUGACCAUGCCCUGCUCCCUUUAGUAAGUUCUGCCUUCAUCUGGACAAACUUCUGCCCAAGUCUUUCUAUUUCCUAUAGGCUCAACACUUGAAGACCUCAAUUAAUCUCCUAGACUAGGAGGUCUCCAGCUAGAGGAGACAGGAGGCCCAAGAACAUGGGUGGAUGACUUGGUCCCCUGGGUCUUAUUGAAAGGGAGACACAUGGCCAUCAGAUUGGCACCAUGCCAAUGGAAAGGUCCCUGCUGAAGCCAGGGUGUGUAAUUCGACCUUGUAAAUUCAGUAACAUGGGAAGCAAUUACACAGAAAUCCAAGCUCCAGCAGGCAAGGCUGCACUCUGCUGCGCUUGGGCGAACAACACGCAGUGAAGGUGGGGAUUGAGCUGAUGCUGAGCUGGCAGCAGUCCUCAGUCCUCUGGAAUUCAUGUCCUGUCUUCAAAAAGGAGGAAUAAUAUAUAAAAAAUUAUUCUGGCCACCCAGUUCCACGCUGCCACUCAGCCCCAACCCAUUAUUUGGGAAAUUGCUACUUGAGGAAGGAAAAGAUAAAUCAGUGCACAUUGGAAAAACAACUUGAAACUCUGGCUCAAGGCAGGGAAUCAGAGGAGAGCAGGCUCCAGACUUUUCUGCUAGCUUAGUAAAAUGGUGUGAUAUGAUCUACUAAGCAGGGGAAGUCAAAGAAAAGCUGCCCUGCAGGCAUUGCUGGGCAAUAUGAAGAGACACCUGGGAAGAGACUUUCUGGCAGAAAGAACUGGGCUCAAGGAGGUAGAAGUGAUCCUUUCUCAGAUGUUAUUUUCCUUAACUACAUUCAGCACCAUCUGAUGGAGCUCACUGAUCACACCACCACGCUUCCCAUCGUGGGGAGAUAGUGUGUUACAGACACUUGAACACGGAGAGCUGCUGCUGGAAGCCAAGAAAGCAGCUGGGAAAACACCACAGCCAAGGCAGCUCUGCACAGGCACCACCAGACGGGGUCUGGACACAGAGACCCAGCCUCCAAUGACCCUGCACCCCACUCCAGGGACAGCACAGCAUCACUUCAUGGCAGGAAAGCUGAUUUUGGGGAAAUGGAAAUAACACCAGCACAAAUCACUCCCAACUGAAUUGUUCAUGGACCUUCAGACACCAUCAAAGUCAGGAGCACAGCAGGUUCGUGGCCAAAUUCACUCACUCCAAUCUCACACUGGGAGGGGGGAGGGUCAGCAGUAAAGAGACAUUAUUCUGUGUUUGAAGGAAACACUCAACCAGAGACCUAUUUUUCUUUCUAUAAGAGAGUAAAUUGGCCAUAGCUGCAAAUGAACUGCAGGGAUCUACUACAAACCAGGAUAAAAAAAAAAUUUUAUUUCAUUGCAAUCAGAAAUUUCAGAAUUUAAGGAGUAGAAAGUAUUGAUUUAAAUAAUGAUACCAUUUUAUAAUCUUAUACUUAAAAGUGUCUGCCUGUAAAUAUGGAAACAAAGGACAUUAUAAGCUUUUGAGGAGAACAUAAGUCUAAGGCUCAGGGAGAUUUCUGGUUCUCUGAAACUCCUAAGUGGUCAUCUAAACAUCUUUUAAACUCUGGCCUGCCUGCAUUUUUGCAGGUGGCAGAGAUGUUCUACUUGUUUUUCAUGCCCAGACUUCAACCUUCAGUGCUCGACUUGUUCCCUGCACACCUUGAGUCCUGGCUGUCACUCUUUGCCUCUGUGUCCUGAGCCCCUCUGAGCAGUUUUCGUGUCUCUGGGCUACAGUGUCUCUCUCUGUUUCAUAUCUGAACCUAUCCCUUCCCUUCCAUAUCUGCACUUAUAAAGUAUCUCUUCUUUUCUGGUAUUACUUACUCCUAAUCACUCUAUAAUUACAUUGUGGAGCCCUGUCAAACUCCCAGGAACAAAGCUCAUAUGAAGGAUGCAAAAAUGGACCUCUGUCUCAGGAGAAAUUGUGCUGUGGCAGAGAUGAGGAAGUUGUUUGAUCAUUAGCCUUAUCUAGAACAAAUUGCACAUAAUAACUUUUAAUAUUUUAUAUCAGAUUUGGUUCCUCAGACAGACACAAUUUUUUAAAUUACGCUGUAUUUAACUGAAUCAUUUAAGUAUAUCUGAGUCUCCAAAUAAGAUACUUAAAUGUGCAUUAAGAAAUAAACAAAUCACUAGUUCACUGAAUGUGGCCCUUGUUUCACUGCCCUUGACAUAGGCUUUAGAACUCAAAACUUUUGUAUUGACUUAAGAUAAACGCUGCAAGACCAUAAGCAAUACAUUGUUCUUGUGGUACCCAAUAAUCUAGUCCUUUUAUUUAAAUAUGAUAUAAGUAAUCCCAGAGCCAAUGAAAGCAUGGAAUGACUAGGUGCUACGUUCCACAAAUACUGUCUUGCAUAGAAGAGUUUAACUCCUUAUCUGAAAAACAGUUGGCUGUGACCGUAUUAACAAUUAUAUUAUCAGUUUUCCUUGGCAACAUUUAUGUGUCAAAAUGUAUCAUGGGUUUCACAGCUUAGUUCCAGAAAUAGGCUGUGGUCCGGGUGACAUCAUACCUUCCUCCAUAAAACUUUUUUUUUUUUUUCAUCCUUCCAUAAACACUUGCUCUCCCAGCCCUACGCUGGACCCACUCAGGCCAUUAAGGCAUAACGAGCUCUUCCCAGCUCUCAGCAUCCCAGCCUGGCAGGAGGGUUGAAAAGUUUACCAAAACAGCGCGAUUUGUGCCGGAGAGCCAGAGCCUUUGCGGCUCUGCCGUGGCAGGGCAGGAGAAGCGCAGAGGCCGCGUUAAAACCGUGAGCACUGAGCACUGAGGAGGCACCAGGGGCCGUGGGUGUCUGAACGGGGCUGUCGGUUCAUCCUCUGUGUGAUGUCAAAGGAUAACAAUGUGUCAGGACUGGGAGGCGCAAUCCCUCCCUCCAUCCGCGCCCGUGAUGCGCGCGAUCGAUGCGCCAGCUGUACAGAGAAGGGAGAGAUGGUGAAAAGCCAGGAGCAGGCAGAGCUGAAACCCCCCUCUCCUCCUCUCCAAAGCCUAGCUGGGGUUUUUAGAUACUAAGGAACUGGAUUCUUACAAAGGAAGCCUUACAAAGUGGCAUUGUGAAACUGCAUUGCAAAAUUCAAUUAAGUGAAGUUUCAAACAGCUACGCAACGAUGUUGUGUUGGAGUCUGGGUGCCAUUUGGGUGAUU